GAUGAACGCUGGCGGCGUGCCUAAUACAUGCAAGUCGAACGCUUCACAUAUGUGAAGAGUGGCGAACGGGUGAGUAAUACAUAAGUAACCCGGCCUUUACAGGGGGAUAACUGUUGGAAACGAUAGCUAAGACCGCAUAGGUGUGAUAACCGCAUGGAGAUGACAUGAAAUAUGCUACGGCAUAGGUAGAGGAUGGACUUAUGGCGCAUUAGCUAGUUGGAGGGGUAACGGCCCACCAAGGCGACGAUGCGUAGCCGACCUGAGAGGGUGACCGGCCACACUGGGACUGAGACACGGCCCAGACUCCUACGGGAGGCAGCAGUAGGGAAUUUUCGGCAAUGGGGGAAACCCUGACCGAGCAACGCCGCGUGAAGGAAGAAGUAAUUCGUUAUGUAAACUUCUGUCAUAGAGGAAGAACGGUGCGUGUAGGGAAUGACAUGCAAGUGA
Molecule: ribosomal RNA, 447 nt
Filed under: uncultured bacterium
Lineage: Bacteria
Description: bacterial SSU rRNA
Rfam family: Bacterial small subunit ribosomal RNA
Source: RNAcentral